CAGUAGCCGCGGUAAUACGUAGGGUGCGAGCGUUAAUCGGAAUUACUGGGCGUAAAGCGUGCGCAGGCGGUUGUGUAAGACAGGUGUGAAGUCCCCGGGCUUAACCUGGGAACUGCGCUUGUGACUGCACAGCUAGAGUAUGGCAGAGGGGGGUGGAAUUCCACGUGUAGCAGUGAAAUGCGUAGAGAUGUGGAGGAACACCGAUGGCGAAGGCAGCCCCCUGGGCCAAUACUGACGCUCAUGCACGAAAGCGUGGGGAGCAAACAGGAUUAGAUACCCGUGUAGUCCCUGUCUCUUAUAC
This 301-nucleotide ribosomal RNA is filed under the name uncultured bacterium. RNAcentral describes it as "partial 16S ribosomal RNA". It matches the Rfam family "Bacterial small subunit ribosomal RNA", at positions 509 to 807 of the family's 1533-position model. The record is from RNAcentral.